AUUGAACGCUGGCGGCAGGCUUAACACAUGCAAGUCGAGCGGGGGAAGGUAGCUUGCUACCGGACCUAGCGGCGGACGGGUGAGUAAUGCUUAGGAAUCUGCCUAUUAGUGGGGGACAACAUCUCGAAAGGGAUGCUAAUACCGCAUACGUCCUACGGGAGAAAGCAGGGGAUCACUUGUGACCUUGCGCUAAUAGAUGAGCCUAAGUCGGAUUAGCUAGUUGGUGGGGUAAAGGCCUACCAAGGCGACGAUCUGUAGCGGGUCUGAGAGGAUGAUCAGCCACACUGGGACUGAGACACGGCCCAGACUCCUACGGGAGGCAGCAGUAGGGAAUAUUGGACAAUGGGGGGAACCCUGAUCCAUCCAUGCCGCGUGUGUGAAGAAGGCCUUAUGGUUGUAAAGCACUUUAAGCGAGGAGGAGGCUCUUUUGGUUAAUACCCAAGAUGAGUGGACGUUACUCGCAGAAUAAGCACCGGCUAACUCUGUGCCAGCAGCCGCGGUAA
This 503-nucleotide ribosomal RNA is filed under the name uncultured bacterium. RNAcentral describes it as "partial 16S ribosomal RNA". It matches the Rfam family "Bacterial small subunit ribosomal RNA", at positions 30 to 523 of the family's 1533-position model. The record is from RNAcentral.